AGAAGUGAUGACCGCAGGAAGAGGCGCUGCCUUUUUACCUGCCUGUCGUCAUUGUGAGCACACAAUCAGUCCACAGGGUCCAGGUUACCGUCUCCAUCUGUUGACAUACGGAAACCAAGGCAACCAAGCCGGCCUCCUGGCCUUCCUUACCCCAAAAUUCCGAGCAGAGACUCCCCGGGACAGAAUCUGUUGUUGGUGCACAACCUCUCCCAGAAAGAACUUGGUGUCCUUAGGGACAAGUUCUUGGGCAGAUCAUUGCAGUAGAAACUGUAGCUCAAGUCAACGUCAACGUCAAGUCAACAUCAGUCCUGAACUAACUUCAGGUAGAGCAAGUAGAAGGAAUGGAACAAGAGAAUGAUUUAAAG
Molecule: long non-coding RNA, 365 nt
Filed under: Anser cygnoides (Swan goose)
Lineage: Eukaryota; Metazoa; Chordata; Aves; Anseriformes; Anatidae
Description: lncRNA (ENSACDG00005001284.1)
Source: RNAcentral